Molecule: ribosomal RNA, 404 nt
Filed under: uncultured bacterium
Lineage: Bacteria
Description: bacterial SSU rRNA
Rfam family: Bacterial small subunit ribosomal RNA
Source: RNAcentral
UAGGGAAUAUUGCAAAAUGGGCGCAAGCCCGAUGCAGCAACGCCGCGUGGGCGAUGAAGGCCUUCGGGUCGUAAAGCCCUUUUUGAGGGGAUGAGGAAGGACAGUACCCUCAGAAUAAGCCUCGGCUAACUACGUGCCAGCAGCCGCGGUAAAACGUAGGAGGCGAGCGUUAUCCGGAUUUACUGGGCGUAAAGCGCGUGCAGGCGGAUUGGAGAGUUGGAUGUGAAAGCUCCCGGCUUAACUGGGAGAGGUCGUUCAAUACUUCCAGUCUUGAGUGCAGUAGAGGGAAGUGGAAUUCCGGGUGUAGUGGUGAAAUGCGUAGAUAUCCGGAGGAACACCAGUGGCGAAAGCGGCUUCCUGGACUGUAACUGACGCUCAGACGCGAAAGCUAGGGUAGCAAACGG